GGGUGGUAAUGCCGGAUGCUCCAGUUGUUCGCAUGGUCUUCUGGGAAAGCUUUCGCGGUAUGGGAUGGGGUCGCGUCCUAUCAGCUUGACGGCGGGGUAACGGCCCACCGUGGCUUCGACGGGUAGCCGGCCUGAGAGGGCGACCGGCCACAUUGGGACUGAGAUACGGCCCAGACUCCUACGGGAGGCAGCAGUGGGGAAUAUUGCACAAUGGGCGCAAGCCUGAUGCAGCGACGCCGCGUGAGGGAUGGAGGCCUUCGGGUUGUAAACCUCUUUUAUCGGGGAGCAAGCGUGAGUGAGUUUACCCGUUGAAUAAGCACCGGCUAACUACGUGCCAGCAGCCGCGGUAAUACGUAGGGUGCAAGCGUUAUCCGGAAUUAUUGGGCGUAAAGGGCUCGUAGGCGGUUCGUCGCGUCCGGUGUGAAAGUCCAUCGCUUAACGGUGGAUCCGCGCCGGGUACGGGCGGGCUUGAGUGCGGUAGGGGAGACUGGAAUUCCCGGUGUAACGGUGGAAUGUGUAGAUAUCGAAAAAAAACACCA
This 539-nucleotide ribosomal RNA is filed under the name Bifidobacterium longum subsp. infantis. RNAcentral's name for it is "bacterial SSU rRNA". It matches the Rfam family "Bacterial small subunit ribosomal RNA", at positions 158 to 711 of the family's 1533-position model. Lineage: Bacteria; Bacillati; Actinomycetota; Actinomycetes; Bifidobacteriales; Bifidobacteriaceae. The record is from RNAcentral.